RNAcentral lists this ribosomal RNA (404 nucleotides) under Actinomycetes bacterium. RNAcentral describes it as "Actinobacteria bacterium partial 16S ribosomal RNA". It matches the Rfam family "Bacterial small subunit ribosomal RNA", at positions 355 to 776 of the family's 1533-position model. The record is from RNAcentral. Lineage: Bacteria; Bacillati; Actinomycetota; Actinomycetes.
UGGGGAAUAUUGGACAAUGGGCGCAAGCCUGAUCCAGCCAUGCCGCGUGAGUGAUGAAGGCCCUAGGGUUGUAAAGCUCUUUCACCGGUGAAGAUAAUGACGGUAACCGGAGAAGAAGCCCCGGCUAACUUCGUGCCAGCAGCCACGGUAAUACGAAGGGGGCUAGCGUUGUUCGGAUUUACUGGGCGUAAAGCGCACGUAGGCGGACUAUUAAGUCAGGGGUGAAAUCCCGGGGCUCAACCCCGGAACUGCCUUUGAUACUGGUAGUCUUGAGUUCGAGAGAGGUGAGUGGAAUUCCGAGUGUAGAGGUGAAAUUCGUAGAUAUUCGGAGGAACACCAGUGGCGAAGGCGGCUCACUGGCUCGAUACUGACGCUGAGGUGCGAAAGCGUGGGGAGCAAACAGG